This 450-nucleotide ribosomal RNA is filed under the name uncultured bacterium. Its description in RNAcentral is "partial 16S ribosomal RNA". It matches the Rfam family "Bacterial small subunit ribosomal RNA", at positions 354 to 796 of the family's 1533-position model. The record is from RNAcentral.
GUGGGGAAUUUUGGACAAUGGGCGCAAGCCUGAUCCAGCCAUUCCGCGUGCAGGAUGAAGGCCUUCGGGUUGUAAACUGCUUUUGUACGGAACGAAAAGCCUCUGGUUAAUACCCGGGGGUCAUGACGGUACCGUAAGAAUAAGCACCGGCUAACUACGUGCCAGCAGCCGCGGUAAUACGUAGGGUGCGAGCGUUAAUCGGAAUUACUGGGCGUAAAGCGUGCGCAGGCGGUGAUGUAAGACAGUUGUGAAAUCCCCGGGCUCAACCUGGGAACUGCAUCUGUGACUGCAUUGCUGGAGUGCGGCAGAGGGGGAUGGAAUUCCGCGUGUAGCAGUGAAAUGCAUAGAUAUGCGGAGGAACACCGAUGGCGAAGGCAAUCCCCUGGGCCUGCACUGACGCUCAUGCACGAAAGCGUGGGGAGCAAACAGGAUUAGAUACCCCAGUAGUCC